AUCGCUAGGCAACAGUUAUUUUGCUAUAAUUCAGUUACCUACCAAAAUCAAGUCGCGCUUGCUUUCUUGCGCUAGAAAGUGAUUUUUAAAUUGACAUCCCAAAGACUGAACCAGUUGAAGAUGACUGACACGGCGCGGGACAAGGCCGCCAGGCUGCUGAGGAAGCAGGGAAGUGUGUCGUCCAUGUCGAGUGGAGACCUCCACGCAAAACAACACAAGAUCGGUUCGAUGAGCACCGUGUCAUACAUGGAUGAGCCUGGUCACGAGGAACACUUCCGACCUCCGAUACGACUGGAGAACACGUACCAGCUGACGCCAAUCAAACGCUUCCCCAACCUCAAGAUCCAGCAGCUGAUCAAGGACAGCAUGGAGGCCUACCUCAGUGAGGAGCGGUACGAACCCGAACUCUGCAGACAGAUGUCGAGGACACUCUCUGAGGUAAUCAAGGCUCGAGUAAAGGAGUUGGUGAUCCCGCGAUACAAGAUUAUCUGUGUGGUACAUAUAGGACAGCUGGCAUCCCAGGGCAUGCGAGUCAGCAGUCGGUGUCUGUGGGACGCGGGCAGUGACACGUUCGCAUCAUUUGAAUACCGCAACAGGUCUCUCUAUGCCAUUGGCUGUGUGUAUGGCAUUUAUUACGAAUAACUGGAAAAACACUUAGGUUCACAGGUCUCCGUGCGUAAUACCCUCGGUGCAAUGGCUUGAAAUAAUAUAAUAUUAUAGAAGUGUCCUUUUACGUGUGGGCUUUAGCUUUCGGUAUUUCAGCAUAUCAACAGUACGCCAAAGAUAUAAGUUAACAGAAUUUACCAUUCAUGCCAGAUUCAUGAUCGAAAAAUAUUUUUUUGUCUUGGAACAGAUGGAAGAUCAAUUUCAGAUUAAUAAUAUGAAGAUAUUUAAAAAAGGAAUAUAUCUUUUACUUAAUUCCAAAUGAGCUAAAAAAAGAAAGAAAAAAUAACUAUCAAUAUCUGAAUAAUGAUAUAAAUUUUUAUUUUUCAUAUGAAACCAACUGUAAUUGAGAUAAAGAAAAAGGGUUGAUUUUUGACACCCAAUAUGAUUUCAAAUAUAAUUUGAUAAAACUUGACUUUGAUAGUUGACUUUGAUAGUUAACGUGAACCAAGAGAAAUGUAUAUCGUCGAUUUUAAGGGUAAAAGGAAAGUAACCCCGACAUGUAUACAACAUUAAUUUUGGUCUGGGUUUAACUACUUUAUUAUAAAGUUAACAUUUUGUGAUAGGGUGAAAUGUUUUCUGCUGAAUAUUUGUAGAUAUAUAUUUCUUCCGGUGAUAUUUGGUUCAAGUAUACAUUGACUGAUUCUAGUAGCCUAAUAUUAUUAUAGUGAUGUAUUUGUUGUUAAGUACUGGUAUUUAUUCUUAAAUUAUAAUUACUAUAGUUAUCCAUGUUUGAUGUUACUUUGUUCUAAUGUUGAAAUAUUAGUGUAAGUUGGUUAAUAUUUCCAUAAUCACGUAUCAUUUUUAUAUAUAUAUAUAUAUAUAUAUAUAUGUUGUGUAUGUACAAAAAUAUGAACAUAAAUCAAAGAUAAUGUGCAGUAAAAUCAUGAAAAAUCAAAAUAAUUGUUUUACAGCAAGAUGAAAACCACAGUAAUUUUGCUUAGUGGAAAAGAUUUGAAUUCUAUUGUUCAAAUGUUAUUUUGUCACAUGCAAUAUAGGCAAAAAGCAAAUUGGAAGAUUUUCUAGUCACACUGUAUGUCAGUAUUUACUAUUGUCAUAUCAUGCCUAUUUUUCAUACCAUUUAGAAAAUCAUGGAAUACUAACAUCUAGGUUUUAUAAUAUUUCACAUUUCUAGAUAGUCCAGUACAUAUAUACCAGUGUAUUGGUAACUAGAUUAAUAUUGUAGGGCAUCAUUGAUAACACCCAGCUUAGAAAAGGUAACACCAUUUCAAAUACGUGGUCCCCACCCACUAUUUCAGAGAACCAGCCAUGCACGGAAUACAGAAAUACAGAUAAAGGUUGACAAGUUUUUCAUUGAAGUUACUGUACUGUACUCCCAAGUAAAUUCAGUGAUACGUGUUGAGGUCCAUAAAUGUUCAGUAUUGAAAAAUAAAGUGUGUCAAUGAGGCAUUCUAACUUGUAUAGAUAUUUCAGUAUGCUUUACACCCCAUUCGAUUCGGUUUCACAAUACAACUUAUAUAUUUAUGGCAAGAAAUAACUUUCCUCAUGUAUAAGGAUGAAGUAGUAAAUGUGGUGUUUGGGCAUUUUUUUAAAUGUAUAAUUUAUAUACAGUAUAUAUUUUGAUUAAAAUGUAUAAAUAUAAUUUUUAUAGUUUAAUAAAAGGCACUGUUCAUGUUUUGUGCACAGAUUCAAUGAUGGGUCACAAAAGACAUUUUCCUACUUGAACUCGAGUAAUUUCUCCUCAGUGCGUAGGUAACUUAAGCUUGUUUUAGUGCUUGAUAGGACAACCUCGCUAAAGUUUUCUUACCAUUAUGUCACUUGGAUUUCGUUAAACUUUAAGAUGUGUAAUAUUUUAUGAUUUACAGUAGUCAUGUUACACCUAAUGACUGUACACACCAAACUUUCCUUGUCAGUAAUGUAAUGUGUGCAGUAUGCAUCAGUUGGUGCACUCAUUUGUCAUGGGUUAGUUUAUUGUAACAUGGUUGAUGUUACUACACUCUGUUUACUCUGCACACAAUACAUGUUAAUUGUGAUGCUUAUCAUCCUGGUCAAACACCACUGAAUCAACAUGCUGAAAACGGAUCCGCUCGCUCCAUCUUUAAAGUUUUCAACUUUUUCUGAUAGCAGAAAAAGUGGGCAGUAGCAAGUGGAAUACUUGAAAUGACUAUUUUAAAUAACUACAGUCACUUCACAAAAUGGGUACAGAGGUGAUUAAAAACUAUUUGCAUGAACUGUCGGUUAAACACUCACACAUAUAUGCAUGCACACACACACACACACACUUGUGGUUUAGUCAUAGUCUAGUAUUGUCAAACAUCUUGUUAUCAGCCUUGAAAUACCUAUAUGCUUUAAAAGAUGGUGGUAUGCGGUAUCUUUGAUAUAAAAUACUGUUUUCACUUUAAGAGUAUAGUAUUAUGUUACCAGGGAGUUGUUUUAGUAUUUAGCAUGUGUACUGGGAAACUGUGUCUCCGGUGUUGUAACAACAGCUGCGGUUUGGUCAAAUCUUCAUUGUUUGUCAACCAGUCUAGUCUGUAGUUUCAAACAUCUGCACAAAAUUAAUGUUCUUCAUAUAUAUAAUUAUUUCUUAAUUAUUGUUUAAAUUGAUUGUUAUCAUGUUUCUGUGUUGAAUAUGCCAUUCUUGUUUGGCUUACUGUCUCCAUGUUUGAUGAAAAGAACAAUUUUAGCUUUGCAUCAUCAUUUGUUACUGUACCAAGAUGUAUCUCAUUCAGAUAAAAAUUAUUGUGAAAAAAGCCCAUGAAGUGUGCUUUUUUUAAAAGCAUUUAUAAUAUUAAUUGGUUGUGUCUUGAACAAAUAUAUUUUAUUGUAAAGUUGUAUUUUUAUUGAAUGUCUUCCUGUUCACACCAUUUAUAUAUCAAUCCACUGUUUAUAAGUUGGCAUGAGCUACCAACGUUAAUCAUGUCAUAGUAUUAAUUAUACAUCAACCACUGUUGAUACGUGAGCAUGAGCUACCAAGGUUUAUUAUGUCAUAGUAUUAAUUAUACAUCAAACCACUGUUGAUAAGUGGGCAUGAGCUACCAACGUUAAUCAUGUCAUAGUAUUAAUUAUACAUCAAACCACUGUUGAUAAGUGGGCAUGAGCUACCACGGUUAAUCAUGUCAUAGUAUUAAUUGUACAUCAAACCACUGUUGAUACGUGGGCAUGAGCUACUAAGGUUAAUCAUGUCUUAGUAUUAAUUAAUGAAGUGAGACAAACAUUAGUUAUCUGCCCUUUUGGUAAGUGGGCAUGGGCUACUGAUGUCAUGUAAUAGUAUUAAUACUGGCCUCAACAACCAGUUCUGUCUGAAUCAUGUGCAUUUUCUGUAGAUAUUAAUGUUAAAAAGAAAACCUAUUUUCAGUAUCAAAUUGGGUAAAUUUAAUAAUUUUGUAAUGCGUAAAUUUUUCAGUAUUCUCUUUUUAAGUGUUUGCAAACUGCUAGCCAUUUGUCCGAUAAAGAUGUUUAAAUUGUGAUCAAAAAGCUUUGUGUAAAACUAGAUUUCUUUGUGAAGUACCAUAUAUGUUUAUUUGAUGUUGUAAACUAAAGUAGUGGACAUUACUUGAAAGUUCAUGUGGUCCAAUAUAAUGAAAGAGUUUGAUAUGUUGUUGACCAAGUAGAAUAAAAUUCAGACGUGUCUAAGUUUCAAGACUAAAAUUAAGACCUCUACUAUUCAGCCCGGAGAAGUAUAUGCAUUUACCGUUUAUUGUAACACUCCCCAACCAGAUAGAUGGUUCUCUGUUUCCUUUAAACGGUUGUUUACAGUCAUAUAUUCUAUUUUGUACUGACCCUGUUAUCAAGAUCGGUUUGUUAUUUUUUGAAUGUAUAUUUUUGUAUUACUUGGUGUAACUCUAUUGUGCAUCCAUAUUUGAAAAUAAAUGUAUAUAUUCC
RNAcentral lists this unclassified non-coding RNA (4506 nucleotides) under Gigantopelta aegis. RNAcentral describes it as "dynein light chain Tctex-type 5-B-like, transcript variant X1". The record is from RNAcentral. Lineage: Eukaryota; Metazoa; Mollusca; Gastropoda; Neomphalida; Peltospiridae.